UACGUAGGGUGCAAGCGUUAAUCGGAAUUACUGGGCGUAAAGCGUGCGCAGGCGGCUUUGCAAGACAGAUGUGAAAUCCCCGGGCUUAACCUGGGAACUGCAUUUGUGACUGCAUGGCUGGAGUGCGGCAGAGGGGGAUGGAAUUCCGCGUGUAGCAGUGAAAUGCGUAGAUAUGCGGAGGAACACCAGUGGCGAAAGCGGCCACCUGGACUGCACCUGACGCUGACACGCGAAAGCUAGGGGAGCGAACGGG
Molecule: ribosomal RNA, 253 nt
Filed under: uncultured bacterium
Lineage: Bacteria
Description: partial 16S ribosomal RNA
Rfam family: Bacterial small subunit ribosomal RNA
Source: RNAcentral